Molecule: non-coding RNA, 96 nt
Organism: Naganishia cerealis
Lineage: Eukaryota; Fungi; Basidiomycota; Tremellomycetes; Filobasidiales; Filobasidiaceae
Source: the annotation of a GenBank genome assembly
GGGGAAAUGGCGCAGUGGUAGCGCGUCGAGUUUGCAUUCUGUCAUAGACGUUCAGCAACAUCUCGAAGGACCAGGGUUCAAUCCCCUGUUUCUCCA